This 72-nucleotide transfer RNA is filed under the name Candidatus Woesearchaeota archaeon. RNAcentral's name for it is "tRNA-Asn". It matches the Rfam family "tRNA". Rfam says of the family: Transfer RNA (tRNA) molecules are approximately 80 nucleotides in length. Their secondary structure includes four short double-helical elements and three loops (D, anti-codon, and T loops). Further hydrogen bonds mediate the characteristic L-shaped molecular structure. tRNAs have two regions of fundamental functional importance: the anti-codon, which is responsible for specific mRNA codon recognition, and the 3' end, to which the tRNAs corresponding amino acid is attached (by aminoacyl-tRNA synthetases). tRNAs cope with the degeneracy of the genetic code in two manners: having more than one tRNA (with a specific anti-codon) for a particular amino acid; and 'wobble' base-pairing, i.e. permitting non-standard base-pairing at the 3rd anti-codon position. The record is from RNAcentral. Lineage: Archaea; Nanobdellati; Candidatus Woesearchaeota.
GCAGACGUAGCUUAGCGGUAGAGCGCAUGGCUGUUAACCAUGAGGUCGGAGGUUCGAUCCCUCCCGUCUGCG